RNAcentral lists this ribosomal RNA (228 nucleotides) under uncultured bacterium. Its description in RNAcentral is "partial 16S ribosomal RNA". It matches the Rfam family "Bacterial small subunit ribosomal RNA", at positions 1259 to 1500 of the family's 1533-position model. The record is from RNAcentral.
GACCGGAUGCGGAUCUCGAAAGCCUGUCCCAGUUCGGACUGGAGUCUGCAACCCGACUCCACGAAGUUGGAUUCGCUAGUAAUCGCGCAUCAGCCAUGGCGCGGUGAAUACGUUCCCGGGCCUUGUACACACCGCCCGUCACACCAUGAGAGUUGGGAAUACCCGAAGCCCAUGUCAAAGUGGUCGAAGGUAGGCUUGAUGAUUGGGGUGAAGUCGUAACAAGGUACC